AACCCACCCCAAUAUUCUAAUACCCAAAACCGACAAAACAAACCAAAACCUACUUUCAUUCUCACACUUCAACGAAAGAACUUCCAGAAAGAACUUAUAACCUUUGCCUAUAAUGUCUAAAAAUACUACCUAAAUACAUUCAUCGGUGAAGCUAUUUGAUUGCAGGGGUAAUUUUUCUAUCAGAAUCUGGACUUCAACUCAACUUUAUAGUUCGAGGAGUUUGGCUUCUUCUAACUUACUUCCACACAGAAGCAACCUCAAGUUGGCUAUUAUUUGAGGAAGUGGGCAAGCAAUGUAGUAGAACCUGGUGCAAGCUAGGGGAUUGUGGCCUCACUAUUAGUAGUCAUGCUUGGCCCAGCAAGGUGCCUUCUUGGUUUGCCAAAUUACAUCCUACUACAGGCACUCCACUAAAUGCUACUCAGUUUUUCUAAUAGGAGGAUGUUCGGCGGGGGGAGACACAAACCCCUCCAAAAGCUAUAGAACCAUCACAGGGAACAAUGAUGGUACACCUCCUGAAGCCAAUAAUCAACAAUUUCAUCAAUCUGAACGAGGUCGGACAAUCAAGAUUGCAAAAGUGUGUUGCACUAUCCGCAAUCGAAGCAGAGCAUAUUUCUGUAGCGGAAGAUGGUAAAGAAAUGUCGUGGUUAAAGCGGUUUCACCAAGAACUAGGGAUGAAUCAAACAUAGUAUAAAAUACAUUGUGAUAGUCAAAGUGCUAUUGAUUUAAGCAAAAACUCAAUAUAUCAUUCUCGGACAAAGCAUAUCGACAUUUGCUGUCACUGGAUACGCGAGGUGAUGGAUCAACAACUUUUGAAACUAGUGAAGAUCCACAUGAAGGAGAAUCCAGCAGACAUGUUGACAAAGGUGGUCACUCAAGAAAAGCUAGAGUUGUGCAGAGACAUAGUUGGAAUAACUUUCAAAUAGUAGCUGUGUUGGAAUGCAGCUGAAGGAGGAGAAUUGAUAUGUUCAGCAGCCAUUCUAGAAGCCCACAAUUCCAGAAGCAGCACACCAUUGUUGAAGCCAUCAUCCACCAUUGUUGAGGCCUCUAUUGUUGAAUGGAAAAUUUAACCACCAACCACAUUUUUUACGCUAUAACUAGAGACUUAUGUUUCACUUGUAGAACACACAAAAAUACAAUUCAGGAAGAGAUUGUGAGAAGAAGAGUGUUUGGUGAGGUUUUUGUAGAGAGAAAUUCUUGGUGUAAAUUCUCUGUAAUUCUAUUCUUGUGUAAUAGAGCUGUUUUUCCUCCUAAA
Solanum dulcamara is the source of this 1252-nucleotide long non-coding RNA. RefSeq lists it as uncharacterized. NCBI's taxonomy places the organism in Eukaryota, Viridiplantae, Streptophyta, Magnoliopsida, Solanales, Solanaceae. The record is from RefSeq and is a predicted model, not a curated record. The transcript has 3 exons.